RNAcentral lists this ribosomal RNA (972 nucleotides) under Lactobacillus delbrueckii subsp. indicus. RNAcentral describes it as "bacterial SSU rRNA". It matches the Rfam family "Bacterial small subunit ribosomal RNA", at positions 50 to 987 of the family's 1533-position model. The record is from RNAcentral. Lineage: Bacteria; Bacillati; Bacillota; Bacilli; Lactobacillales; Lactobacillaceae.
UAUACAUGCAGUCGAGCGAGCUGAUUCAAAGAUCCCUUCGGGGUGAUUUGUUGGACGCUAGCGGCGGAUGGGUGAGUAACACGUGGGCAAUCUGCCCUAAAGACUGGGAUACCACUUGGAAACAGGUGCUAAUACCGGAUAACAACAUGAAUCGCAUGAUUCAAGUUUGAAAGGCGGCGCAAGCUGUCACUUUAGGAUGAGCCCGCGGCGCAUUAGCUAGUUGGUGGGGUAAAGGCCUACCAAGGCAAUGAUGCGUAGCCGAGUUGAGAGACUGAUCGGCCACAUUGGGACUGAGACACGGCCCAAACUCCUACGGGAGGCAGCAGUAGGGAAUCUUCCACAAUGGACGCAAGUCUGAUGGAGCAACGCCGCGUGAGUGAAGAAGGUUUUCGGAUCGUAAAGCUCUGUUGUUGGUGAAGAAGGAUAGAGGCAGUAACUGGUCUUUAUUUGACGGUAAUCAACCAGAAAGUCACGGCUAACUACGUGCCAGCAGCCGCGGUAAUACGUAGGUGGCAAGCGUUGUCCGGAUUUAUUGGGCGUAAAGCGAGCGCAGGCGGAAUGAUAAGUCUGAUGUGAAAGCCCACGGCUCAACCGUGGAACUGCAUCGGAAACUGUCAUUCUUGAGUGCAGAAGAGGAGAGUGGAACUCCAUGUGUAGCGGUGGAAUGCGUAGAUAUAUGGAAGAACACCAGUGGCGAAGGCGGCUCUCUGGUCUGCAACUGACGCUGAGGCUCGAAAGCAUGGGUAGCGAACAGGAUUAGAUACCCUGGUAGUCCAUGCCGUAAACGAUGAGCGCUAGGUGUUGGGGACUUUCCGGGUCCUCAGUGCCGCAGCAAACGCAUUAAGGCGCUCCGCCUGGGGAGUACGACCGCAAGGUUGAAACUCAAAGGAAUUUGACGGGGGCCCGCCACAAGCGGGUGGAGCAUGUGGAUUAUUUCGAAGCAACGCGAAGAACCUUACCCAGUCUUGACAU